CUACCCUUGACAUGGUCGGAAUCCUGCUGAGAGGUGGGAGUGCUCGAAAGAGAACCUGCACACAGGUGCUGCAUGGCUGUCGUCAGCUCGUGUCGUGAGAUGUUGGGUUAAGUCCCGCAACGAGCGCAACCCUUAUCAUUAGUUGCUACGCAAGGGCACUCUAAUGAGACUGCCGGUGACAAACCGGAGGAAGGUGGGGAUGGCGUCAGGUCAUCAUGGCCCUUAUGGGUAGGGCUACACACGUCAUACAAUGGUACAUACAGAGGGCCGCCAACCCGCGAGGGGGAGCUAAUCCCAGAAAGUGUAUCGUAGUCCGGAUUGUAGUCUGCAACUCGACUGCGUGAAGUCGGAAUCGCUAGUAAUCGCGAAUCAGAAUGUCGCGGUGAAUACGUUCCC
This 396-nucleotide ribosomal RNA is filed under the name uncultured bacterium. Its description in RNAcentral is "bacterial SSU rRNA". It matches the Rfam family "Bacterial small subunit ribosomal RNA", at positions 975 to 1375 of the family's 1533-position model. The record is from RNAcentral.